This is a long non-coding RNA of Solanum pennellii, 563 nucleotides long. RefSeq lists it as uncharacterized. Lineage: Eukaryota; Viridiplantae; Streptophyta; Magnoliopsida; Solanales; Solanaceae. The transcript is spliced from 2 exons. The record is from RefSeq and is a predicted model, not a curated record.
AUAAUAGAGCUUACAACAACCUGGAGACCUCUGCCCUCUAAUUCCCAUACUUGUUCUCCAUGUUAACUUUCCUUAUUAUUUUGCUACAUCGAAGCUCCGAUUAAUUUGAUUAUGAGCGUAUCACGCCAUUGUCAUAAACCUUUUGCGAUUUUCACAUUUCUUCUCCUGAUUUCUUCAUUACUACAAUUUAUUUCAGCUUUACCCUUAAUUAACCCAACUAAACAGCAGCAAAAACUCAGUGGACCGGGUUCAUCGCCCCCAACGUGUAGAUUCAAGUGCGGACGUUGUUCGCCAUGUAAACCGGUUGGGGUCUCGGUUCACCCCGGUUUUACUUUUACUUUAGAGUACUACCCUCAAGCUUGGAGGUGCAAGUGUGGCAACAAACUCUUCAUGCCUUAGACAAGUUAUACAUAUAAUUGGAGUAAAUUUAAUUAGAUUUUUAUUGUGAAAAUUUUUUUUUUGUAAAUUUCUAGAUUUGUUUCCUCUGUUUUUGUAAGAAAAAUACACUUCUCUUCGUAAUUUAUACAAUUUUACUGGUGAAAAUUUGAUUCUCCGUCUCAUAA